RNAcentral lists this long non-coding RNA (389 nucleotides) under Equus caballus (horse). Its description in RNAcentral is "lncRNA (ENSECAG00000056256.1)". Lineage: Eukaryota; Metazoa; Chordata; Mammalia; Perissodactyla; Equidae. The record is from RNAcentral.
GUGGCCCGAGAGCUUCAGCGGAGCCCGGGAGCGUCAGGACGAAGGUCUGCCCGGGACGGCGACGUGCAGGGAUGCUGUUUCUCCUCCUUCCAUCCCCGAGGCACCCACCCCUUGCUGAGGACGAGCUGGGUAUGAUCCCCACAACUACUCCCUUACUCAGAUGGACCGACGGACACGCGGGAAUGACAGUCGGGAAGGAGCAGGGUCAGGUCUAGGUUUUCUGACUCUAAAAUGCCUCCUCUUUCCGUUCCUGAAAAAACUAAUGGGACAGGAAUGGAACUUCUCCAAAUAAGGCUAGGGAGUGAGCCGUGGCUGGAGGGCCCUGCCAGCCGCAUCAGGAGGCUGGACUUCAUCUGAAGAACACUAAGGAGCUACAGGAGGAUUUUCAG